Molecule: long non-coding RNA, 641 nt
Filed under: Salvia miltiorrhiza (redroot sage)
Lineage: Eukaryota; Viridiplantae; Streptophyta; Magnoliopsida; Lamiales; Lamiaceae
Description: long non-coding RNA (SMIL_LNC004224)
Source: RNAcentral
UUUUAUUACAGUUACAGAAUCACCGAGACAUAGAAAAUACAUCAUAAAUUCUUCUCUACAUUUUUUUUCUUUUCUUUUCUUUCUUUUUCUUUCCAUUAAUUUUGUUCCCCACUUUUCCCUACGACAGCACCAUCCAAUCCACCAAACUUCCCACCACUCAUUGCUCCCCAUCAUCUUCAAUUCUUUAAGGCUAUUAAUUCCUUCAAGCACCAAAGGGAGGAGAAUUCAUUCAGCUAUUGCUCUGCCAACUUGAAGAGUCCCCAUCAUCUGCAUUCAUUUAACACCACAGCAUCCAACCAACAAGCAAUUACAGGUAUAUACUAAGAUCCCUUCAUUCGAAUCUCAUUUGCAUUUCAUCCAAUCAAGCAUUCAUGUCAACAUGUUCAAGCUAUGGCAUUUCAACUAUGUUAUGAUUUACUCAUUGUUACUUUACGCUCUAGAACAACAAACCAUGAUUAUUCUGCCUUAACAACUAGAAACUAGGAUAUAAGGAAGUAGGACUUAGCUUUAGGGAACAAGGACGCAGCCUGUUCGAUCGAGCCAAGAAGCGAUGAUCAGGCGACGGCUCAUGGGGAUCCAAGCGCCAACCGCGAUUCACGGCGAUGUGCAGAGGCACGUCGGACUCGUGCGCAGCAGUGGCG